AUACGGAGGGUGCAAGCGUUAUUCGGAAUCACUGGGCGUAAAGGACGCGUAGGCGGGUUUGUAAGUCAGGUGUGAAAUCCUACAGCUUAACUGUAGAACUGCACUUGAAACUACAGACCUAGAGUAUGGGAGGGGCAGAUUGAAUUAGUGGUGAAGGGGUAAAAUCCGUAGAUAUCGAUAGGAAUACCGAAAGCGAAGGCGAUCUGCUGGAACAUAACUGACGCUAAGGCGUGAAAGCGUGGGGAGCAAACAGGAUUAGAAACCCUAGUAGUCC
This 274-nucleotide ribosomal RNA is filed under the name uncultured bacterium. RNAcentral's name for it is "partial 16S ribosomal RNA". It matches the Rfam family "Bacterial small subunit ribosomal RNA", at positions 523 to 796 of the family's 1533-position model. The record is from RNAcentral.